AAGAGCUCAGAUUUGAAAUCGUGCUUUGCGGCACGAGUUGUAGAUUGCAGGUUGGAGUCUGUGUGGAAGGCGGUGUCCAAGUCCCUUGGAACAGGGCGCCCAGGAGGGUGAGAGCCCCGUGGGAUGCCGGCGGAAGCAGUGAGGCCCUUCUGACGAGUCGAGUUGUUUGGGAAUGCAGCUCCAAGCGGGUGGUAAAUUCCAUCUAAGGCUAAAUACUGGCGAGAGACCGAUAGCGAACAAGUACUGUGAAGGAAAGAUGAAAAGCACUUUGAAAAGAGAGUGAAACAGCACGUGAAAUUGUUGAAAGGGAAGGGUAUUGCGCCCGACAUGGGGAUUGCGCACCGCUGCCUCUCGUGGGCGGCGCUCUGGGCUUUCCCUGGGCCAGCAUCGGUUCUUGCUGCAGGAGAAGGGGUUCUGGAACGUGGCUCUUCGGAGUGUUAUAGCCAGGGCCAGAUGCUGCGUGCGGGGACCGAGGACUGCGGCCGUGUAGGUCACGGAUGUUGGCAGAACGGCGCAACACCGCCCGUCUUGAAACACGGACC
Molecule: ribosomal RNA, 542 nt
Filed under: Pichia kudriavzevii
Lineage: Eukaryota; Fungi; Ascomycota; Pichiomycetes; Pichiales; Pichiaceae
Description: eukaryotic LSU rRNA
Rfam family: Eukaryotic large subunit ribosomal RNA
Source: RNAcentral